ACCUAACCCGGCUGCACUCCCUGGAUGUAGAAAGCAGAAAGUGCGACCGGAUUGGGUGA
Molecule: microRNA precursor, 59 nt
Filed under: Ornithorhynchus anatinus (platypus)
Lineage: Eukaryota; Metazoa; Chordata; Mammalia; Monotremata; Ornithorhynchidae
Description: Oan-Mir-430-P59_pre stem-loop
Source: RNAcentral